RNAcentral lists this ribosomal RNA (479 nucleotides) under uncultured bacterium. RNAcentral describes it as "partial 16S ribosomal RNA". It matches the Rfam family "Bacterial small subunit ribosomal RNA", at positions 28 to 507 of the family's 1533-position model. The record is from RNAcentral.
GAUGAACGCUGGCGGCGUGCUUAACACAUGCCAGUCGAACGAAGCACUUUAACCUGAUUCUUCGGAUGAAGGUUUUUGUGACUGAGUGGCGGACGGGUGAGUAACGCGUGGGUAACCUGCCUCAUACAGGGGGAUAACAGUUAGAAAUGACUGCUAAUACCGCAUAAGACCACAGAGCCGCAUGGCUCGGUGGGAAAAACUCCGGUGGUAUGAGAUGGACCCGCGUCUGAUUAGGUAGUUGGUGGGGUAACGGCCUACCAAGCCAACGAUCAGUAGCCGACCUGAGAGGGUGACCGGCUACAUUGGGACUGAGACACGGCCCAAACUCCUACGGGAGGCAGCAGUGGGGAAUAUUGCACAAUGGGGGAAACCCUGAUGCAGCGACGCCGCGUGAGCGAAGAAGUAUUUCGGUAUGUAAAGCUCUAUCAGCAGGGAAGAAAAUGACGGUACCUGACUAAGAAGCACCGGCUAAAUACGUG